This 411-nucleotide ribosomal RNA is filed under the name Actinomycetes bacterium. Its description in RNAcentral is "Actinobacteria bacterium partial 16S ribosomal RNA". It matches the Rfam family "Bacterial small subunit ribosomal RNA", at positions 355 to 776 of the family's 1533-position model. The record is from RNAcentral. Lineage: Bacteria; Bacillati; Actinomycetota; Actinomycetes.
UGGGGAAUAUUGCACAAUGGGCGCAAGCCUGAUGCAGCGACGCCGCGUGGGGGAUGACGGCCUUCGGGUUGUAAACUCCUUUCGCUAGGGACGAAGCUUUUUGUGACGGUACCUAGAUAAGAAGCACCGGCCAACUACGUGCCAGCAGCCGCGGUAAUACGUAGGGUGCGAGCGUUGUCCGGGAUUACUGGGCGUAAAGGGCUCGUAGGUGGUUUGUCGCGUCGUCUGUGAAAUUCCGGGGCUUAACUCCGGGCGUGCAGGCGAUACGGGCAUAACUUGAGUACUGUAGGGGUAACUGGAAUUCCUGGUGUAGCGGUGAAAUGCGCAGAUAUCAGGAGGAACACCGAUGGCGAAGGCAGGUUACUGGGCAGUUACUGACGCUGAGGAGCGAAAGCAUGGGUAGCGAACAGG